CUCCCCGUUGGCGGUGGCAGGCGACCGGGAGACUUCAGUGCAUUGAACAAGAUCCAUCUAUUGCACAAGAGGCUUUGGACAGGAUCAACUAAGAAAAAAUCCCCACCGUGUGCUGACGUGCAAUUCAUCUUGAUUGAUUCUAGUGGCAUUGAAGAUUCGCAGGAAGGGAACAACGGGCAGCCCCCCAGCCUCACAAAGAAGCUUUCCACCCGCCAUCCUUCCCAAGAUUUGAUAUUAGAAAAUGAAGACAUGAAAUGGCUGCCUAAAGCGCAGCUACAAUGAGGGGCAUUGAAGCUCCGGGGAAAAAACUGAUGGAAAAAAAAUCGAUUUCGU
Molecule: long non-coding RNA, 333 nt
Organism: Alligator sinensis (Chinese alligator)
Lineage: Eukaryota; Metazoa; Chordata; Crocodylia; Alligatoridae
Exons: 3
Source: RefSeq, a predicted model, not a curated record